ACUUCCAAAGGAUAAUAGUUCAUCCGUCGGUCUUAGGAACCGAAAACUCUUGGUGCAACUCCAAGUGGUAGUU
RNAcentral lists this transfer RNA (73 nucleotides) under Epinephelus merra (honeycomb grouper). RNAcentral's name for it is "tRNA-Leu". It matches the Rfam family "tRNA". Rfam says of the family: Transfer RNA (tRNA) molecules are approximately 80 nucleotides in length. Lineage: Eukaryota; Metazoa; Chordata; Actinopteri; Perciformes; Serranidae. The record is from RNAcentral.